Molecule: ribosomal RNA, 574 nt
Filed under: uncultured bacterium
Lineage: Bacteria
Description: bacterial SSU rRNA
Rfam family: Bacterial small subunit ribosomal RNA
Source: RNAcentral
CGGCCGCGUCGACGGCAGGCAAAGCCUGUCGGUGCCGCAGCAAACGCAAUAAGUAUUCCACCUGGGGAGUACGUUCGCAAGAAUGAAACUCAAAAGGAAUUGACGGGGACCCGCACAAGCGGUGGAGCAUGUGGUUUAAUCCGAAGCAAACGCGAAGAACCUUACCAAGUCUUGACAUCCCUCUGACCGUCCCUUAACCGGGGCUUUCCUUCGGGACAGGGGAGACAGGUGGUGCAUGGUUGUCGUCAGCUCGUGUCGUGGGAUGUUGGGUUAAGUCCCGCAACGAGCGCAACCCCUAUCCUUAGUAGCCAGCAGUAAGAUGGGCACUCUGGGGAGACUGCCGGAGACAAAUCCGGAGGAAAGGUGGGGAUGAACGUCAAAAUCAAUCAUCGCCCCUUAUGAUUUGGGACUACACACGUGCUAACAAUGGACGUAAACGAAAAGGGAAGCGACGGAGUGAUCCUGAAGCAAAUCUACAAAAAUAACGUCCAGUUCGGAUUGUAGUCUGACAACUCGACUAACUAUAGAACGUACGUAGGUAACGUACGUACUAGUAAACUCGACGGAUACAACG